RNAcentral lists this ribosomal RNA (468 nucleotides) under uncultured bacterium. RNAcentral's name for it is "partial 16S ribosomal RNA". It matches the Rfam family "Bacterial small subunit ribosomal RNA", at positions 28 to 507 of the family's 1533-position model. The record is from RNAcentral.
GACGAACGCUGGCGGCGCGCCUAACACAUGCAAGUCGAACGGAGCUGAGAGAAGCUUGCUUUUCUUAGCUUAGUGGCGAACGGGUGAGUAACGCGUGAGUAACCUGCCCUGGAGUGGGGGACAACAGUUGGAAACGACUGCUAAUACCGCAUAAGCCCACGAUCCGGCAUCGGAUUGAGGGAAAAGGAUUUAUUCGCUUCAGGAUGGACUCGCGUCCAAUUAGCUAGUUGGUGAGGUAACGGCCCACCAAGGCGACGAUUGGUAGCCGGACUGAGAGGUUGAACGGCCACAUUGGGACUGAGACACGGCCCAGACUCCUACGGGAGGCAGCAGUGGGGGAUAGUGCACAAUGGGGGAAACCCUGAUGCAGCGACGCCGCGUGGAGGAAGAAGGUUUUCGGAUUGUAAACUCCUGUCGUUAGGGACGAUAAUGACGGUACCUAACAAGAAAGCACCGGCUAACUACGUG